RNAcentral lists this ribosomal RNA (584 nucleotides) under uncultured Gammaproteobacteria bacterium. Its description in RNAcentral is "partial 16S ribosomal RNA". The record is from RNAcentral. Lineage: Bacteria; Pseudomonadati; Pseudomonadota; Gammaproteobacteria.
CAUAUGGUCGACCUGCAGGCGGCCGCGAAUUCACUAGUGAUUCGUAUUACCGCGGCUGCUGGCACAGAGUUAGCCGGUGCUUAUUCUGUCGGUAACGUCAAAACAGCAAGGUAUUCGCUUACUGCCCUUCCUCCCAACUUAAAGUGCUUUACAAUCCGAAGACCUUCUUCACACACGCGGCAUGGCUGGAUCAGGCUUUCGCCCAUUGUCCAAUAUUCCCCACUGCUGCCUCCCGUAGGAGUCUGGACCGUGUCUCAGUUCCAGUGUGACUGAUCAUCCUCUCAGACCAGUUACGGAUCGUCGCCUUGGUGAGCCAUUACCUCACCAACUAGCUAAUCCGACCUAGGCUCAUCUGAUAGCGCAAGGCCCGAAGGUCCCCUGCUUUCUCCCGUAGGACGUAUGCGGUAUUAGCGUCCGUUUCCGAGCGUUAUCCCCCACUACCAGGCAGAUUCCUAGGCAUUACUCACCCGUCCGCCGCUCUCAAGAGAAGCAAGCUUCUCUCUACCGCUCGACUUGCAUGUGUUAGGCCUGCCGCCAGCGUUCAAUCUGAGCCAUGAUCAAACUCUAAUCGAAUUCCCGCGGCC